CCUACGGGAGGCAGCAGUGGGGAAUAUUGGGCAAUGGGCGCAAGCCUGACCCAGCAACGCCGCGUGAAGGAAGAAGGCUUUCGGGUUGUAAACUUCUUUUAUCAGGGACGAAGCAAGUGACGGUACCUGAUGAAUAAGCCACGGCUAACUACGUGCCAGCAGCCGCGGUAAUACGUAGGUGGCAAGCGUUAUCCGGAUUUACUGGGUGUAAAGGGCGUGUAGGCGGGAAAGCAAGUCAGAUGUGAAAACCAUGGGCUCAACCUGUGGCCUGCAUUUGAAACUGUUUUUCUUGAGUACUGGAGAGGCAGACGGGAUUCCUAGGGUAGCGGUGAAAUGCGUAGAUAAUAGGAGGGACCCCAGGGGGGGAGGCGGUCUGGUGGACAGCAACUGACGCUGAGGCGGGGAAGCGUGGGGAGCAAACAGGAUUAGAUACCCCUGUAGUC
RNAcentral lists this ribosomal RNA (443 nucleotides) under uncultured bacterium. RNAcentral describes it as "partial 16S ribosomal RNA". It matches the Rfam family "Bacterial small subunit ribosomal RNA", at positions 338 to 795 of the family's 1533-position model. The record is from RNAcentral.